This 246-nucleotide ribosomal RNA is filed under the name uncultured bacterium. Its description in RNAcentral is "partial 16S ribosomal RNA". It matches the Rfam family "Bacterial small subunit ribosomal RNA", at positions 111 to 353 of the family's 1533-position model. The record is from RNAcentral.
UAACGCGUGAGUAACCUGCCUUUCANAGGGGGAUAACGUUCUGAAAAGAACGCUAAUACCGCAUGAGACUACAGAGCUGCAUGGCUCAGUGGUCAAAGGAGCAAUCCGCUGAAAGAUGGACUCGCGUCCGAUUAGAUAGUAGGCGGGGUAACGGCCCACCUAGUCGACGAUCGGUAGCCGGACUGAGAGGUUGAACGGCCACAUUGGGACUGAGACACGGCCCAGACUCCUACGGGAGGCAGCAUG